CUCCACUAACGGGGUCAGCAUAACGAUGACAGUGCAGCCACUCUCCCACACCAUCUAAGGACAGAGAUCCAGCCAGGCGUGCUGGACCAUGCCUGUAUCCUAAACUCUGGAGGUAGAGGCAGGAACAUGAGUUUUCAGAGCAUCCUAGACUACAGCAAGACCCCAUAUCAAGAAGAAGAAAACCCCCAAACUCUCCUCUACAAUAACCUCUGUGGAGAUGGGAGCUGCUGGCCUCCCUGACUGGACACUCACCAAGAUUUCUUCCUGUGCCCUUGGGCAGCAACUGCAGCAGGGUCAAGUAGGUAGAAAGCUGCUCCGGGGUCAGCUGACGCAGCUCUACUCCAUAGCCUGCCAGCACAGGAGCCAAUCUCUGCAGACUCACAUCUG
Molecule: long non-coding RNA, 387 nt
Filed under: Mus caroli (Ryukyu mouse)
Lineage: Eukaryota; Metazoa; Chordata; Mammalia; Rodentia; Muridae
Description: lncRNA (MGP_CAROLIEiJ_G0002356.1)
Source: RNAcentral